CAUCCUGAAAGUCAGCAAGGAGAGAACAUUGUCGGCGGGGACGGCCUUCAACGGGCAACGACAGGAAGUGACGCGUACGACCCCAGGAAGAGUCGCGCUGGCAUCGCCAGAGCUAACGGGGAUCCGAAAUACAACAACAAACCAAGCAAGCAACCGCCGCAGUUCCGCCUUGCAGUGACGCAGCUCUUCCUCCAGGGCGGCGCGCUCGUGCCGGCUCUCGUCAUGGAGACGCUGCAGCGAGCCCAGCGAACGCUUCACCCGCUCGCACUGAAGCAAACGGACCGACACGCAAAGGCGCGUGCGUCAAUUAGGAGCGGCUCCGCUCCGCUCGCCCGGCGUUGCCAUGACGGACGCUACCUCGCUCUGCGCCCGGAGCCCGGCGUCCUGGGCUCGCCGCACCUGCACCUCAAGUUCUUGGACGUCUGGAAGACUGACAGGGGGGCGGCGCACACUGUCGUAGGUGUCGUCCUGCGUCCUGGCGCAAAAAAGAAAAGAGCUUUGGUGGCGAUUGCCAGUUGCCGAGCGCUGCGUGCUUUUCCAGCGGGGUGCUCACACCCAGGCCGGCUGCUCUUGCUCCUGCUCUUGCUCUUGCUCCUGCUCUUGCUCUUGCUCUUCUUGUUUCACUUUGCAGCUCAGCUCUCGGUUGGCGUUACUCAGCACAAGACGCUGGCGGCUCAGAGAUGCAAACUCCUCCUCCAGGCACGCGGCGUCUCCACCUUCAGGUGACAAUCAUUCUUGCCAUCAACACCAAUAAUCUAGCUCCUGAUGGGCCAGUGCUGUCGGUUACCGGAGCAAUCCUCGCCGUCGCUCUCCGUCCCGAGGGCGGCGACCUCCGCCUCGUGCCGGCCUGCCGCGUGGCGCUGCAGCUGGGCCCGGAUGCGACACAGCUCCUCUUGGAGGCAAGCGAUGUCGUUCUCCCGCUCGGCCGCCGCCUCCUCGCCGGCUUCCUGCAGCGCCAGUGCCGCCUCCUCAGCCCGGCACAGCUCAUCCUGGGCCUCCUCCAGCUCGCUCUGCUUCUCCUGCCGCGCUAUCGCGACCUCCCGCCGGACGCCCGCCAGCUCCACUGCGAGCGGUCAGGACCAAGGUUACGGCAAUCCAAACCAACAAAAGUGCUUUUUUUUUUUUUAUCCGGUACCUUUGAGAGCUUCCAUUUGUCUGCUGAACGUUUCCGCCUGGUGGGCCCGAGCCAGUCGCUCAUCCUCCAACAUGGCUGACAAAAACAUCGACAAGAACAUUAGGAAGACAUCUGAAUACCAACCGGCCACAUUGAAGCCUCUCACUGCGCAUUUCCAGAAAGUUCUCCUGGUGUCUUUGCGAGUCUUGCCGCGUCUCCCCCAGCUCCACGAGCAGCUCCACCAUCCGAAUGCGGAGCUCGUCCACGCCCAUCUCUUCAUCGUCCUCCUCGCCAAACUCAUCUUCCGUCUUCUCACACAUGUCGUCCUUCAGCUGGCCUGGGAAACGUUGAGAGGAAAGACAUUUGGAAAUGAAAGGACGGACUGCUCUCCUAAACAUGAGUGAAAUGAUAUCUCACACACGCACACACACAAGGGAUUUGUUUUUUGUGUGCAAUUUGUUCCCACUGACCGCAAGAGUCCAGGACCUCCUCGAUGAGGGGGGGUAGCCGCAGUCCGUCCAUGUUUGAAGGCUCCUCAAGCCACGGACAGGUUGCUUAUCCUGAAGACUUCAUCCGCAUCAUGGGCCUAGCCAUCAUCAAGUACAGGUUUAUUUGCAGUGACCAAUGCUGACGGCCAUUCCAUGAUUUGACAUUGGCCUGCCUGCCUGCCUUUCAGGCAUUCUGACGCAUAGUCAACAAGGAUAGGACAACUACUAGAAAAAAUGUACUCGUGUGCUCAAGUUCACAUCAGCAGUGACGUCAGCGAGUUGUUCUCCGACGUGCCCUGUUGAUGUGCUGGUUGCCAUGGAGAUGUGAACGCCCUUUAACAUGCUCGUCAUCUAUUAGCCUAUGAUGUGAAUAUGAUGUUAGCAUGACGUGACGAUGAAUGAUUUUACCUGCUGACUCGGUGCUGCAGCUCCUCUUCAUCAUCGUCAUCAUCGUCAUCAUCGAGGUGACGCCGACGAGACGUCACACCAUCGACCUCCCUGACGUCAUCAUUAACUCUUUGCAGACGACUCAACCAGAGUAAUAUGAUCAAAGCUAAAGAUUGAACUACUUUUGUACUCACAUGA
Molecule: long non-coding RNA, 2187 nt
Organism: Syngnathus typhle (broad-nosed pipefish)
Lineage: Eukaryota; Metazoa; Chordata; Actinopteri; Syngnathiformes; Syngnathidae
Exons: 2
Source: RefSeq, a predicted model, not a curated record